Molecule: non-coding RNA, 270 nt
Organism: Arvicanthis niloticus (Nile rat)
Lineage: Eukaryota; Metazoa; Chordata; Mammalia; Rodentia; Muridae
Source: RefSeq, a predicted model, not a curated record
GAGGAGGAGAAGGAGAAAUAAUGAGUGAUUGUAUCUACGUUUAUGGGAAGAGUUUGCUUUGAAGAAAUGUGUAAACAAAGAUUUACUCGUGUAGAGUGUCUCUGUGCUGCCAUCUGAGACUUCAAGUUCAUUACUGAAUCCAUGCUUCCUCUCAGCAUCAUAAGAAGAUCACAAAAGAUGCAGAUCACCAUGCUUAGCUGGUGGUAUUGUAAAAUCUCUUCAUUAAUGACUUUCAUUUUUGCUUGCUUAUGUGUAAAAUUGAAUCAAAAU